RNAcentral lists this ribosomal RNA (253 nucleotides) under uncultured bacterium. RNAcentral describes it as "partial 16S ribosomal RNA". It matches the Rfam family "Bacterial small subunit ribosomal RNA", at positions 524 to 776 of the family's 1533-position model. The record is from RNAcentral.
UACGGAGGGUGCAAGCGUUGUCCGGAUUUAUUGGGCGUAAAGAGCGCGUAGGUGGCUAGGUAGGUGCGCUGUGAAAACUCGAGGCUUAACCUCGAGAGGUCGGUGGAAACCAUCUGGCUAGAGUCCGGAAGAGGAGAGUGGAAUUCCUGGUGUAGCGGUGAAAUGCGCAGAUAUCAGGAAGAACACCCGUGGCGAAGGCGGCUCUCUGGGACGGUACUGACGCUGAGACGCGAAAGCGUGGGGAGCGAACAGG